RNAcentral lists this long non-coding RNA (1086 nucleotides) under Bemisia tabaci. RNAcentral's name for it is "lncRNA ENSSWEETPG008146". Lineage: Eukaryota; Metazoa; Arthropoda; Insecta; Hemiptera; Aleyrodidae. The record is from RNAcentral.
UAGUUCUAAAAAAUCUUUGGGUACCCCUUUACUAAUGACCCCUAUAUUUUACUCUAUGACGACAAGACAUUUCUUGUAUAUAUGUAUGUUUCCUAGGUUACGCUCCACGUUUAGUUCAACAGCGUCUUGCAGCGCUCUCUUCCGUCCGCGCAAAACCACUUUUACAUAUUGACGAGGUGCUACGGUAAACGCUCUCAAACGUCUUAGCGUUGGAACCGUCGUCUUGUUUUUUGUUUUUCCCGCUAGAUCGAACUACUGUGAAUCUGAAUUACAAUGCGUUGUUGGUGAUCAAAGAAAAUUUGUGAAUUUGAAGUGUAAUAUUUUCUUUUUCCCGUUCCCACAGUCUUACAAGCGCUAACAAUCAAUUACGAAUAAACAAAAACGAAUAAAUUGACGAGGUGCUACGGUGAACGCUCUCCAACGUCUUAACGUUGGAACCGUCGUCUUUUUUUUGUUCCGUAGGCAGGAAAAAACUUCCCCCAUGACACGCCUGAACGCUACUUGAGGCGGCUUGAAUCGUCUCGCGUACCGAAGGAAAAUUUGCCGAGAUUACCAGUUUGGAGCGAAUCUGAGGAUGAGGGCGGGGUUCCUUAUCCACGAAGUGAUCCACCCGCUGAGUUUGACGCCAGGACAAAGUGGAGCAAGUGCGCCAGUAUUUCUCAUAUUUACGACAAAGGCAACUGCGGGAGCUGUUGGGCAGUAUCCACAGCGUCCGUGAUAACGGAUAGAAUUUGCAUUGCCACUAACGGUUUCUUCAAGGACACUAUUUCAGCGUGAGACAUUGCAUCUUGCUGCGUGGAGAACGAAUGCGGAGGUGGCUGUCAUGGAGGCUGGCCCAAAAAAGCUUUCCAACACUACGUAAAAUUUGGUUUAGUUACAGGAGGAGAAUUUGGCACAAAUCAGGGGUGCAUGCCAUACGAGAUAAAGGGUUGCUUUCACCACAUGGGUAAAGCUGGAAAACAUCCGGAUUGUCACAGUUACAACGAAACAGUGGUUCCGAAAUGUGUGACGGAGUGCCCUAAUAAAAGCUAUAAGAUUGCGUUUGCCAAGGACAAACAGUUCGGGAAACGCGCGCUUACACAGUAA